Molecule: long non-coding RNA, 494 nt
Organism: Trachemys scripta elegans
Lineage: Eukaryota; Metazoa; Chordata; Testudines; Emydidae
Exons: 3
Source: RefSeq, a predicted model, not a curated record
GCGCGCGGGGGGCCGGGCUGCGGGCGGCCGUUGGCCGGCUGCACGUUCCCGCGCCUGCCGAGGGGAGGCUGGCGCGCGCUGCCCCUUACCGGCCAUCACGUGCUUUAAUCCCAGCUUGUCUGGCUAAAACUGUGCCUACUAAACAAUGGCAUCCUAGAUUAAAAACUGCAUGGCAAAUGUGCAGCUGCUCAAUGACAGCGACCACUAAUAAGAGCAGUCUUCUCAACGAAGAUAUACGCCACCCUCCCCAGCCUCUGCCCCCCCAGUGGAACACUGCUCCCUUGGGGGAAGGAUUCCUUGGUCACCCUCCAGCUCCAGUUUGGCUGAGUCCCUCCACAGCUAGCUAAACUCAGCAUAGAGACAAACUCAUCCAGCCUUGUGGGACCUGUGCGGGUAAGUCUGCUACAGCCGCAUAUACCUUAGCUGUCUAGUGCUUCAUUAACAGCUGACCCGUAAAAAAACUGUGUGCCCAGGACAUAGGGAAGUUGGCCCUG